AGAGUUUGAUCCUGGCUCAGGACGAACGCUGGCGGCGUGCCUAAUACAUGCAAGUAGAACGCUGAAGAGAGGAGCUUGCUCUUCUUGGAUGAGUUGCGAACGGGUGAGUAACGCGUAGGUAACCUGCCUUGUAGCGGGGGAUAACUAUUGGAAACGAUUGCUAAUACCGCAUGAUCAUUGGAGGACGCAUUUCAUUUAUUGAAAAGGGGCAAUUGCUCCACUACAAGAUGGACCUGCGUGUUAUUAGCUAGUAGGUGAGGUAACGGCUCACCUAGGCGACGAUACAUAGCCGACCUGAGAGGGUGAUCGGCCACACUGGGACUGAGACACGGCCCAGACUCCUACGGGAGGCAGCAGUAGGGAAUCUUCGGCAAUGGGGGCAACCCUGACCGAGCAACGCCGCGUGAGUGAAGAAGGUUUUCGGAUAAAAAAGCUCUGUUGUAAGUCAAGAACGAGUGUGAGAGUGGAAAGUUCACACUGUGACGGUAGCUUACCAGAAAGGGACGGCUAACUACGUGCCAGCAGCCGCGGUAAUACGUAGGUCCCGAGCGUUGUCCGGAUUUAUUGGGCGUAAAGCGAGCACAGGCGGUUUGAUAAGUCUGAAGUUAAAGGCUGUGGCUCAACCAUAGUUCGCUUUGGAAACUGUCAAACUUGAGUGCAGAAGGGGAGAGUGGAAUUCCAUGUGUAGCGGUGAAAUGCGUAGAUAUAUGGAGGAACACCGGUGGCGAAAGCGGCUCUCUGGUCUGUAACUGACGCUGAGGCUCGAAAGCGUGGGGAGCGAACAGGAUUAGAUACCCUGGUAGUCCACGCCGUAAACGAUGAAGUGCUAAAGAAAGGGAUCCUUUCCGGGAUUCAGAGCCGCAAGCUAACGCAUUAAGCACUCCGCCUGGGGAGUACGACCGCAAGGUUGAAACUCAAAGGAAUUGACGGGGGCCCGCACAAGCGGUGGAGCAUGUGGUUUAAUUCGAAGCAACGCGAAGAACCUUACCAGGUCUUGACAUCCCGAUGCUAUUUCUAGAGAUAGAAAGUUACUUCGGUACAUCGGUGACAGGUGGUGCAUGGUUGUCGUCAGCUCGUGUCGUGAGAUGUUGGGUUAAGUCCCGCAACGAGCGCAACCCCUAUUGUUAGUUGCCAUCAUUCAGUUGGGCACUCUAGCGAGACUGCCGGUAAUAAACCGGAGGAAGGUGGGGAUGACGUCAAAUCAUCAUGCCCCUUAUGACCUGGGCUACACACGUGCUACAAUGGUUGGUACAGCGAGUUGCGAGUCGGUGACGGCAAGCUAAUCUCUUAAAGCCAAUCUCAGUUCGGAUUGUAGGCUGCAACUCGCCUACAUGAAGUCGGAAUCGCUAGUAAUCGCGGAUCAGCACGCCGCGGUGAAUACGUUCCCGGGCCUUGCACUCACCGCCCGUCA
This 1411-nucleotide ribosomal RNA is filed under the name uncultured bacterium. RNAcentral describes it as "16S ribosomal RNA". It matches the Rfam family "Bacterial small subunit ribosomal RNA". The record is from RNAcentral.